RNAcentral lists this ribosomal RNA (1341 nucleotides) under uncultured bacterium. RNAcentral's name for it is "bacterial SSU rRNA". It matches the Rfam family "Bacterial small subunit ribosomal RNA", at positions 28 to 1381 of the family's 1533-position model. The record is from RNAcentral.
GAUGAACGCUAGCGACAGGCCUAACACAUGCAAGUCGAGGGGCAGCACUUCGGGUGGCGACCGGCGCACGGGUGAGUAACGCGUAUGUAACCUGCCCUCAGGUGGGGGAUAGCCCAUCGAAAGAUGGAUUAAUACCGCAUGACGUCGAAUGACAGCAUUAGAUUUCGACCAAAAGAUUCAUUGCCUGGGGAUGGACAUGCGUCCUAUUAGCUAGUUGGCGGGGCAACGGCCCACCAAGGCGACGAUAGGUAGGGGUUCUGAGAGGAAGGUCCCCCACAUUGGGACUGAGACACGGCCCAAACUCCUACGGGAGGCAGCAGUGGGGGAUAUUGCACAAUGGAGGAAACUCUGAUGCAGCGACGCCGCGUGAGUGAAGAAGUAUUUCGGUAUGUAAAGCUCUAUCAGCAGGGAAGAAAGGCUCGCAAGAGAGAUGACGGUACCUGACUAAGAAGCUCCGGCUAAAUACGUGCCAGCAGCCGCGGUAAUACGUAUGGAGCAAGCGUUAUCCGGAUUUACUGGGUGUAAAGGGAGCGCAGACGGUCAAGCAAGUCUGAAGUGAAACCCCACGGCUCAACCGUGGGCUUGCUUUGGAAACUGUUUAACUAGAGUACUGGAGAGGUAAGCGGAAUUCCUAGUGUAGCGGUGAAAUGCGUAGAUAUUAGGAGGAACACCGGUGGCGAAGGCGGCUUACUGGACAGCAACUGACGUUGAGGCUCGAAGGCGUGGGGAGCAAACAGGAUUAGAUACCCUGGUAGUCCACGCGGUAAACGAUGAAUACUAGGUGUUGGGAGACAUAGUCUUUCGGUGCCGUCGCUAACGCAAUAAGUAUUCCACCUGGGGAGUACGUUCGCAAGAAUGAAACUCAAAGGAAUUGACGGGGACCCGCACAAGCGGUGGAGCAUGUGGUUUAAUUCGAAGCAACGCGAAGAACCUUACCAGAUCUUGAAUCCAGAUGAAGUACCGGGUAAUGCCGGUAGGCCUUCGGGACAUUUGAGACAGGUGGUGCAUGGUUGUCGUCAGCUCGUGUCGUGAGAUGUUGGGUUAAGUCCCGCAACGAGCGCAACCCUUGUCCAUAGUAGCCAGCAGUAAGAUGGGAACUCUAUGGAGACUGCCAGGGAUAACCUGGAGGAAGGUGGGGAUGACGUCAAAUCAUCAUGCCCCUUAUGAUCUGGGCCACACACGUGCUACAAUGUCGUAAACAAAGGGACGCGAACCUGCGAGGGGAAGCAAAUCUCAAAAAUAACGACCCAGUUCGGACUGUAGGCUGCAACCCGCCUGCACGAAGCUGGAAUCGCUAGUAAUCGCAGAUCAGAAUGCUGCGGUGAAUACGUUCCCGGGUCU